Argentina anserina (silverweed cinquefoil) is the source of this 74-nucleotide small nucleolar RNA. The record is from RefSeq and is a predicted model, not a curated record. NCBI's taxonomy places the organism in Eukaryota, Viridiplantae, Streptophyta, Magnoliopsida, Rosales, Rosaceae.
CCGAUGCCUGUGAUGGUGUUAAAUAUACUUUGCAGAUUAAUUUCUAUGAAAAAAAAUCAAAUCUGAGGCAACCG